GAUGAACGCUAGCGGCAGGCUUAAUACAUGCAAGGCAGGGGGCAGCAAUGUCACCGUCGUACGGGUGCGUAACGCGUAUGCAACCUACCUAUCGACUGGGGGAUACGCCCGGGGAAACCCGGAUUAAUACCGCAUAACACAGGGGUCCCGCAUGGGUACUAUUUGUUAAAGAUUUAUCGGUGGUAGAUGGGCAUGCGUUCGAUUAGCUAGUUGGUAUAGGUAACGGCUUACCAAGGCAACGAUCGAUAGGGGAGCUGAGAGGUUGAUCCCCCACACGGGCACUGAGAUACGGGCCCGACUCCUACGGGAGGCAGCAGUAGGGAAUAUUGGGCAAUGGAUGCAAGUCUGACCCAGCCAUGCCGCGUGCCGGAUGAAGGCCCUCAGGGUUGUAAACGGCUUUUAUUCGGGAAGAAGAGCAGGGAUGCGUCCUUGUGUGACGGUACCGAAUGAAUAAGCACCGGCUAACUCCGUG
This 472-nucleotide ribosomal RNA is filed under the name uncultured bacterium. RNAcentral's name for it is "bacterial SSU rRNA". It matches the Rfam family "Bacterial small subunit ribosomal RNA", at positions 28 to 507 of the family's 1533-position model. The record is from RNAcentral.